UACGGGGGGGGCAAGCGUUGUUCGGAAUUACUGGGCGUAAAGGGCUCGUAGGUGGCCAACUAAGUCAGACGUGAAAUCCCUCGGCUUAACCGGGGAACUGCGUCUGAUACUGGAUGGCUUGAGUUUGGGAGAGGGACGCGGAAUUCCAGGUGUAGCGGUGAAAUGCGUAGAUAUCGGGAGGAACACCGGCGGCGAAGGCGGCGAUCUGGGUCGAUACUGACGCUGAGGUGCGAAAGCGUGGGGAGCAAACAGG
This 253-nucleotide ribosomal RNA is filed under the name uncultured bacterium. RNAcentral describes it as "partial 16S ribosomal RNA". It matches the Rfam family "Bacterial small subunit ribosomal RNA", at positions 524 to 776 of the family's 1533-position model. The record is from RNAcentral.